UGUUAGAUCAAUGGUCUAUGCUAGGUUUUCACUCUCUUGCAAGUAGUAUUUCUUCUUCAGACAACAACAGGUGAUGCUCUUUAGGAAAAGAAACUAAAUCCAGCCCUUUUCUGUAGCUCAUUCUUCAUGUGCUCCACCAGCUGUUGUACCAGGGUCCUUAGCACAUAUGCAGCACAGUCCUUCUGCUACCAGUCAGUGAACUUGCCCACAAACUGGCUUAAUUUUGCUGAACCUGACAAUUUCAGUCUUCACAACCUAUUGUGAGAGCAACUUCCAAAAUUCAUCAGUAUGUACAGAAAGAAAUAUUUUCUCUUCUGAAAGAGAGAAUGAGGUAUAUAAAAAAAAAAAACUUCAGAUAUGCACUCUGUUUACAGGAGAGAGAAAAUUCCAGGCUAGACAAGAUAUGAUUGCUGCUUCCUAAAAGUAGAAUAUCUUUGUAUAGUCAGUUGAUCUAUCUCCUCAUCCUUUUCAUCUAACCUCACUUCUGUUUGUAUGCCUUGUUCAGCUACUUGAUUUCAAAGUCAAGAAUUGAUAUGCUGUGAUUAGAAGUCUUCAUAUUUAACCUGUUAUUGUAUAUCACUGCUGCUAGCUAUGGAGAAAUAAACAGCCCUUUCUGGUUUUAAUACAAGCCUAAGGAGUUGUGUUCCUCUCUAAUUUAACUCAGGGUUAUAUCUGACCUUGUUAUUGGAGUUUGAUUUUAGUUCUGCAGAUUCUUUACGCUUUUUUUUUUUUCCUGUACAGACUCAUGGUAAUUUUGUACACUCCUGUGAAAUAGCUUAAAUGAUUACCAUUUUCUCUUUGAUUCAUCUAUUAGAAGGUGAGCUUUUUUAAAGAAAGAGACUAGCUAUGGUUCCGUCCGUAAGAUGAUGUGUCAAAUUAUUUCUGUGAACCUUUCAGAAAAAUUCUUCUAGAAAAUACUUGCUCAUAAAAGUAGUUAAGAAAAUGCUGUCAGACCCAUUUUCCUACAGAAAAUGAAACUAUUAAAAUCAAAGUGCUUCCCAGAACAGUAUAGAUUUUUCCUAGUACUUUAUUUUUGGAAGAAAACAACACUAAUGACAGUUAAAAACAUCGUAAUGUUCACAGUUUGAAAUAAAAACCAAGUUAUCUUGCUUUGAAAUUCCUAUCCAUAUAUUCAGUGUAGGACUAGCUUUUAGAAGAUUAAAGUGAAACAGGUAAAAAUAUCUAGCUUUUUCAGCUAAAGGAGUGAGAUGGUAAUAAUUUUAAAUGUUGCUAUGAAUUACAAAAUAAAUUUCAAGAUCUUAAAUCUUUUUUAUUGAGUUACAGUUCUAUUUGUACAAUUAAAUUCCAGUCAGAAUUAACAUAUUUUUACCUCUUCCUCCUCUCAAUUUUCUUUUUGCCUGUUACUUAUAAUCCAUUAAGGACAAGUGCUUGAUUAGAUAUUCAGUCUUUUAGGGUAAAACAAAUAAAUAAUAAUGUGUACAAAAGACAUCCAUAUGAUCUUUAUUAUUACUUUACAUACUCAGCAGUGUCAUUCAUCUGUAUUGAACAUUUGAGCUUUUAAAAGAAAAGGCAGCAAAGAGGUUAACAAGAUGAACAUUUUUUCCUAUACCUUCUGCAUUCACAUAUUGCAGAACUCAUUUUAGACAAUGAAUCUGUCUUCCCUUUGCUUCCUCUCAUUGGUUAGAUACACCAUUUAAUGGCUCAUUUCAAAAAUAAAUCUAUCUGCUUUCCUCUCCUCAUAUAGUAAGGGCUCAUUAAAACUGGAUUUGUCUGUGGCUUUUCUUACAAGUAUCACAAUACAGGACCUCAUUUAAAUUGAAAUGCACACUCUUACUAGACUCACUUCCAAGACUUUAUACCACAUAAGGACUGAUUUUUUUAAAGGGUAAUCUUGCCAUUUUUAGUAUCUAAUAGGCCUACAUUUUGAAACACAGAAGAAACUGAAAUAACUUACUUGAUGGCAUACUGCAAUACAAGUUCUCGUCUCUUCUCUUAUAUCUCCUUUCCAUAGAAUCCUUGAUUGUUAUAUUAACGAUGCCUGAAAAGUGUCUGUCUCUCACUCAGUGAUGUUGUAAAGUCACUGACUGAAAGUUAAUAAAGUAUAAUCCGAUGAACAUUCACCUGACACACACUCCUGGGGAAUUAUCCAUAUCUAGCCUUGUCUUUUCUUAUGUUGUUCUUAUCUUUUUACUCAAAUAUCCUUUCAAUUGUUAAAUAAUUUCAUAAACAUUCCUUAUGUUCUAACGUACAACUGCUGAUCCCUUACAUCCCAAACCAAUAUUUACUGGGAUGUACGUGAGCUUGUGCUAUCCUAUGACUCCAUAAUUCCUUGCACCAUCACUGCUGUUUUGUUGUUGUUGCUGUUGUUUCUAUUGGUUUGUUAACUCAUCUUAUUUUCUUCUUAUUCUUUGAAAAAGAAAACUGCAAAAUGCCUUAAAUAAGAACAGUCAUUAGAAAAUCCCACUUCAGAAAAUCUGAAAAUGUUCUUUAAGAUGUUGCUUGAACCACCAUUUCAAUAGACAGUUCAUUUCCAAAAAAAAAACCAAAAAAAACAACACAACAAAACAAACAAAAAAACCCCUAAAGAUUAAGAUUACCAUCUUCAUUCCCCAACACACUCCUUCCUUGAAAUUUAUAUCCUUUCUUAAAAACUGCAGGCAGCUUUUGCAUAAACAAAUGGAGCAUAGUCAUUUGUUAGCAAUAAGGCUGGACAGUUCUGAAAUAUUUCUGAAGAUUUUUCCACUGCGUUCUAAACUCUGUUGUAGGGAAAGGCAAAGGUAGAUAACCAGCUCUAAAUUACCCAAAAACAGGUAAUGGCCAUAAUCCAGUUAAAGAAAUAUAGUUUUGCUUACUUAUCCCAAGGAUCAGGGCUCACCAAACACUCUGAAAAGAAAAAUCUCCAGAUAGAGAUCAUUCCCUUGGGGCAGCCAGCCCUUAAAUAAGGCUUAGGGAGGAGCCAGGUUCUAUGCCUUCUACUCAAUCAUUGGUUCAGGAUAUAACUUAGCAAUUCCCAUACACCUGUUAAUAAAGCAAUGUACAUUUCAAAUAAUACAAGAUUUGCUGCAUUAUUAUUCCUCGUUCUUGAUAUCCACAACUGUGGAAGUUAACCAGACUGCUUUUUUCCUUCAUGGCUCCCUGAGAGACAUUUAGGAAAUUCUCUCUCUGAAACAGGGAAUUUCUACCUCUAUACUGAAGAAGAAAACAUAUGGAUUGCUAGAGCAAAUAGAUUUGCAGGAAAGAAGGAACAUCAGUUAGCUCAUAAGUUUAGGAAAUAGGGACUGUGACUUAAUAAGCUUAUGGGGUAGAAUAUAUCCUCCGAGCAAACAGAUUUAUGAACACCUGCAAUGGAAGGAUUUAUGCAAACGGAUGAAAUAUUAAAAACCGUAAUGGGUGAGGAGUGUAGUAUAGGCAGAAUAACUGGGAAGAUCUAAGUUCCUAACAUGAUUUUUACAGGGAAAUGAAUAGAUUUCAGUAAAUGGAUACAGAAAGUUAAGAUGGAUAAAUGCAUAUAAAUUGAUAUAUACAUAUCUAUCUAUGCAUGUUUAUGCAUAUGCAUACCCCAAACACUUUUGUGAGCAAAAGAAAACACCCUAGGUAUACAUGGAAUUGACAGUUUAUUGUUAGCUUAAUCAAAAGCUUAGCAGUCUAAAUGGAAUAUCUCACAAUUUUCUCCUGUCCAGCUAGGAUAAAUCUAUCACUCAGCACUCAAAUUAAUAUAUCGCAUAAUCAAUAGAACCUUUAAAGCUUGUCAUGAAAGAAAAUUUUCCAGUAUUUACUUCUGUUUUACUGUUGUUAUGCUGACUUACCAAUGUGGCUUUGGAUCCUGACGGCAGUGGUGCCAUGAAUGGGAAAGAAAGCUGUUAACAGGAGUCUUCAACCAGAUCUGCAGAGAAUCAUGGUAUUUAUUCACAGAGCUCUUCAGGGCUUGUAAGGGAUUAUUGUUUUGCAUCAUUGUCUCAAAGCUUGCUGAGGGUCACAGAUGAACAAGUCCAAACAAGUCCUGAUCAAGGUUUGAGAAGUCCUUUGUCUGGAGGACACAGGUGGACCAGUCUUGGGCAGGGGGUGCAAAAUCCUUUGUCUGAGGGACACAGAUGGACAAGGCCGAGGGCAACGAGAGAGAGAUUCCUCAUGAAGAGGUGUUUCUGACAACAGAUUCCUCGUGCUGAAGAAGAGAGAGGGUUUCUGACAGAUUCCUCGCGACCCGAGACCUGCAUGCUGAAGAACAAGAAGUUGUUGUUUGCUCCCUUCUGGACUUGCUCUGCACUCUACCUGCUUGCUUCCUAAGGCUGGCCUUCUGCUACUGCUCUCCCCCCAAGGUGUCUGCCAUCAGAUCCCUCACUAAGGAAGGUCUGCAUGCUGACGGACUCUCCAGGGCCUGCUUCUUCCUCCCGGAGUUCUUCCUGAACCUACCUGAUAACUGCACAUUCUUGCUGCCCAAGACUGGCCACGCUACUGCUGCUCUUCCCAUGCUCUUUUGCCCUGGACCGUCGGAACGUCGUGCAACGGGACCGUUGCUGGAUCCUGGUGGUGACUAUCCCUGCUUUACGCAAUUCUUGCCUCUUUCUAUCUUUUCUAUCGCCUGCCUUCCCUUGUUGUAGAUUCUUGUGACAAAACCAGACAAAGUCUAGUGCGAUAAAGGGACAGCUUUAUUCAAUUAAGCAUGGCGGUUAAGUGAGCAAAACAGCGCUGGGCGGGCGGCCGAGGGGAGUUUACACUCCACCAGGGUCGCAAUUUGAACAAAGGAUUGGCUCUGCAUUUAUACUAUUCUUAUCUCCUGUAUACAUUCCAGUCAUUCUUGUACGUAUACAAUUCUUAUCUCCUGCAUACAUUCCAGUCAUUCUUGCGGCUGCGCAGGUUGUUGCUGGGGGAUUCAUUUUCCUGCCUCCUGAUGGUUGUGGGGAUGAAAGUCAGUAGUCUUUUCCAUUAUUCUUUGGUUAUUUUCUAGCAGCUUAUGUGCCCCGGGCCUGCAGCUUCUUAGUUUCCGUCGUUUACAACACUAUUUACAUUUUACAACACUAUUUACAUUCCCGGAGACCUGAGAUAGCACCACUGAGUUUUGAUUUGACUAACAAACUUAACCCUUACCUAUCACAGUUGCUGGAUCCUGGUGGUGACUAUCCCCGCUUUACGCAAUUCUUGCCUCUUUCUAUCUUUUCUAUCACCCGCCUUCCCUUCCCUAUCACCCUAAAUCAUCUGUCCUCCCCUUCCCCAUCUCCCUGAUUAAGAUUUGUAAUAAACUUGUCG
This is a long non-coding RNA of Gallus gallus (chicken), 5205 nucleotides long. NCBI's taxonomy places the organism in Eukaryota, Metazoa, Chordata, Aves, Galliformes, Phasianidae. The record is from Ensembl.